CAUGUACGAGAAUCGGAGGUGGGAACAGCUUUAAAAGAGUUGUUUAAAUUAUGGGAAAGGAAGAAAAAUAAUUCAAAUACGGUGUUGGUGGAGAUGAAGAGGUGGUUAGCAGACAUAUCCUUAAAUGUGAUAUUGAGGAUAAUUUUUGGGCAAUCUGUGGGAUAUAUGACUGCAAAUGAAGGCGAGGAGAAUAAAAGAUUGAGGGAAGCGUUGAGGGAUUUCUUUGAUUUAUCAGGGAGGUUUGUGGCGGCUGAUGCGAUACCCUUUUUGAGGUGGCUGGAUAUUGGGGGAUACGAAAGAGCCAUGAAGAAGACUGCAAAAGAUUUGGACCUUGUUGUUGAAG
Molecule: unclassified non-coding RNA, 343 nt
Filed under: Hevea brasiliensis (rubber tree)
Lineage: Eukaryota; Viridiplantae; Streptophyta; Magnoliopsida; Malpighiales; Euphorbiaceae
Source: RNAcentral